RNAcentral lists this small nucleolar RNA (138 nucleotides) under Catagonus wagneri (Chacoan peccary). RNAcentral describes it as "Small nucleolar RNA SNORD10 (ENSCWAG00000004146.1)". It matches the Rfam family "Small nucleolar RNA SNORD10". Lineage: Eukaryota; Metazoa; Chordata; Mammalia; Artiodactyla; Tayassuidae. The record is from Rfam by way of RNAcentral.
GCUCUGUGAUGAACCCCAUGCGUGUCAUCUGAGCCUGGCUUCCUUGUCAGCUCAGCCCAGGUAGUGUUCUACUUGCCAGGGCUGUUUGGCCUGGCAAGGGGUUCCCAGGCAAAGGAUCAAUCUUUGUAUUCUGAGAGC